RNAcentral lists this ribosomal RNA (700 nucleotides) under uncultured organism. Its description in RNAcentral is "bacterial SSU rRNA". It matches the Rfam family "Bacterial small subunit ribosomal RNA", at positions 379 to 1092 of the family's 1533-position model. The record is from RNAcentral.
AAGCCUGAUGCAGCGACGCCGCGUGAGUGAAGAAGGCCUUCGGGUCGUAAAGCCCUUUUGUAGGGGAAGAGGAAGGACGGUACCCUAAGAAGAAGCGUCGGCUAACUACGUGCCAGCAGCCGCGGUAAGACGUAGGACGCGAGCGUUAUCCGGAAUUACUGGGCGUAAAGGGCCAGCAGGCGGCUUGGUAAGUUGUGCGUGAAAGCCUCGUGCUCAACGCGAGGAAGCCGGACAAUACUGUCAAGCUAGAGGGCAUCAGAGGGGAGUGGAAUUCCCGGAGUAGCGGUAAAAUGCGCAGAUAUCGGGAGGAACACCGAUGGCGAAGGCAGCUCCCUGGGAUGCACCUGACGCUAAGAGGCGAAAGCUAGGGGAGCGAACAGGAUUAGAGACCCUGGUAGUCCUAGCUGUAAACGCUGGGUGCUAGGUGUGGUACGUAGAAGUUCCGUGCCGGAGCAAACGCGAUAAGCACCCCGCCUUGGGAAUUACGGUCGCAAGGCUAAAACUCAAACGAAUUGACGGGGCCCCGCACAAGCAGCGGAGCGUGUGGUUCAAUUCGAUGCUACACGGAAGAACCUUUACCUGGGUUUUGACAUGUACGUGGUACGAAGGCGAAAGCCUAAAGGACCCUUCGGGGAGCGUACACAGGUGCUGCAUGGCUGUCGUCAGCUCGUGCCGUGAGGUGUCGGGUUAAGUCCCGUAA